This 2197-nucleotide long non-coding RNA is filed under the name Salvia miltiorrhiza (redroot sage). Its description in RNAcentral is "long non-coding RNA (SMIL_LNC007374)". The record is from RNAcentral. Lineage: Eukaryota; Viridiplantae; Streptophyta; Magnoliopsida; Lamiales; Lamiaceae.
GCAUAUCCUGUUGAUCAUAAAAUAAAAAAAUUAUUAAAAGAUAAUACAUCUGGUUCAGUGCAAAUGUGAGGGAAAGGUGAACACAUGACAUAGAAGUUGGAGAGAGAGAGAGGAGAGGACAAUCAAACUUCAAGAGCAAUGACUCACCAAUGCAAGAUUGAAAUCAAUCAGNUAAUAGGCCCACGAGUUAGUCUUCAAUUAAAUAUUAGAUUAGUAUAUUUGAAGCUUUAAGCAAGUUACUGAAACAAAUAAUAUCUUCCAUCAGGUCCCCUCCACUUGACAUGACAAUAAAAGUAUAAAACAAGUUGAUUGUAUAAGAAUAAACCUCACCGGCUGUCCCAUACUUUUUGUGCAUAUCCUGUUGAUCAUAAAUAAAAAAAUUAAUUAAAAGAUAAUACAUCAGGUUCAGUGCAAAUGUGAGAGAAAGGUGAACACAUGACAUAGAAGUUGGAGAGAGAGAGAGGAGAGGACAAUCAAACUUCAAGAGCAAUGACUCACCAAUGCAAGAUUGAAAUCAAUCAGGUAACCCUUGUUGACCUUGCGAGAGUAAAGAAAGUUUCCAGGUUUAACAUCUCUGUGAACAAAUCCCUGUAAGCACAAGGGCGAUCAAAACUUAUUUUUUCAUAUUUUCCUUUCAAAAAGAAUUAAACUGCAUAUAAUGAUACAUGCAUCUUUACAUAUUCUCUGACCUGCCUAUGUAGACCAGCAAGGGCUUUGAACAGACAAUAACCAUACCACUGUAGGUCAGCAACAUUCAUAUCUCUUUUUAAGAUCUGCAGGUUGAGGUAUUGUUACAAGAGAACAAGGACGGCUACAGAGAGAGAUUAAAGGAAGAUGAUUACCUCAGGUCUGUCAUGCUGAACAUGUUGCAAAACAAGACAAACAGCACUCUUACUCUUAAAUGAACCUUCAUACUUUAUCACAAAGUUUCUCCCCCUGUCAUUAAGAAUAAUAAGCAAAUCAUUACCACUGCCAAAAUAAAAUUUCAGAAGACUUGGGAUAUGUUAAGAAUUAAAAAUAUUGUUUACCCCAAUCUCUCUAGCAUUUUUAUCUCAUUGUUCACAUAAUUUUUAUUGGCGUUGACAUGAGGACCUGGAAAACCAUUAAAAACAAAAAAGUUAAAGUAGCCAAACAUUUAUCCAGCUGUGGAAGUUGAAGCAUUCAUUGUUCAAAAAUACUCAUUAAAAGCACUAGCUGCUUUAACACAUACUUGAACAUCACAAGAAUAACACAACUACCUUCUUACAUCUAAGUGUUUUUUCCCUUUCAUCUCGCUACAUUAGAGGUGCAUAAAAGAUUAUGCCUUACAAAGAGGCUACAAUCAGUCUUAAUUUAUAACUGAAGUUUCAUAACAACAAGAAAGGCAAAGCAUUUUCUAAGAAAGAAUCAUCCACAAGUCUUCAAGCUUUUGCACUAUCUAGUAGACACAAAAUUUUACCAUUUUGUAGAACAUCUAAUUCUGCACGACUACACUCAAUAUGAUGCAACAGUGGAAACUACACACAAUAUGACACAAGAUGUAUGUAUGAUUUGACAGAAAAAGUAAAUGACUAAAUACAGAAAAUUAUAGAGAAGGCUAUCAUACAUUUUAUGGCAAAUAUUACUCCAUCGUCUUUCCUUCUUGCCCGGUACACUGUACCAUAACCUCCUGCACGAAAUAAGAAAAAAGCUUUGAUCUAUAACACAUAAAAAUUACUCUCCUUGCUUAUAUGUGUAUAUACAUAUAACCUCUGUGUGUGGGUGAGUGUGUAAAAAGAUCUUGAAUAGUCAAAUGAAUCCUGAGCCCUCUUCUUGUCCACAAUAAAUGACUCAAAUUCCGGAAAAGGUUCUUGCUUAAUAUUCUGCAAAACAUGAAUAUAUCUUAAUUCUUCUGAGGUAAAUAUAUCUUAUGGAAACAAAUAUACAUCCACAUUGGUCAGCCCAUAAAUCUUAGAUUGCAAGCUUACAUUGGAUAUGGAGGAAGGCUUUUCCUUAUUCUCAGCGGAAGCAUCCCUCUUUUCUUUUAGUGUUUUCAAUCUGGUCGCAAUCAAUCUUUUUCGUUUGCUGUACAGAAACUGGGGUUUUUAUCUCUUUUACAUUUGCUCUUGACCUUUAUCAGUAAGGCGCUUGCGUUUCUCUUUGGUGGGGCAGAUAUCAUUCUUCCUAUCAUAUGCUCCACGCUUGGUAUCGAGAUUGAGGGUAGAGGAAUGCUUCAUGG